GGGGAUGUAGCUCAAUUGGUAGAGCAUUAUUUAGCGCUAAAUGAAGGCUUGGGGUUUGAUUCCUCGCAUCUCCA
This is a non-coding RNA of Eragrostis curvula (weeping love grass), 74 nucleotides long. The record is from the annotation of a GenBank genome assembly. Lineage: Eukaryota; Viridiplantae; Streptophyta; Magnoliopsida; Poales; Poaceae.